RNAcentral lists this ribosomal RNA (492 nucleotides) under uncultured bacterium. RNAcentral describes it as "partial 16S ribosomal RNA". It matches the Rfam family "Bacterial small subunit ribosomal RNA", at positions 30 to 507 of the family's 1533-position model. The record is from RNAcentral.
AUUGAACGCUGGCGGCAUGCUUUACACAUGCAAGUCGAACGGUAACAGGCCUUCGGGUGCUGACGAGUGGCGAACGGGUGAGUAAUGCAUCGGAACGUGCCCAGAGGUGGGGGAUAACGCAGCGAAAGCUGUGCUAAUACCGCAUGUGAUCUGAGGAUGAAAGCGGGGGACCAAGCAGCAAUGUUUGGCCUCGCGCCUCUGGAGCGGCCGAUGUCAGAUUAGGUAGUUGGUGGGGUAAAGGCCUACCAAGCCGACGAUCUGUAGCUGGUCUGAGAGGACGACCAGCCACACUAGGACUGAGACACGGCCCAGACUCCUACGGGAGGCAGCAGUGGGGAAUUUUGGACAAUGGGCGCAAGCCUGAUCCAGCAAUGCCGCGUGCGGGAAGAAGGCCUUCGGGUUGUAAACCGCUUUUGUACGGAACGAAAAGGCUCUGGCUAAUACCUGGGGCUGAUGACGGUACCGUAAGAAUAAGCACCGGCUAACUACGUG